AAUCAUCUCCUAGUUGUAGUCAUCUGUUAUGGGAGCUUGGCUCAGAGAAAAAUAUUUGAAGAAAUGGAUUGUGGGGAUUCAUCUGGCUAUGAAGAAAUUUUUGGAAGAUAUGGAUCCAUUUAACAGAUCGACUAGAAAAUAUUCCUGAGACUAGAGAAACAUCUUAUGUAUUCUAUGAAGAUAUCUUUGAUGCCAAAAAUGCUUGUGGUCAUGUUAGGAUUCAGCGUGUACAACAGAUACUUCGUGGACUUGUACUGCAAUGCA
Molecule: long non-coding RNA, 264 nt
Organism: Gekko japonicus
Lineage: Eukaryota; Metazoa; Chordata; Lepidosauria; Squamata; Gekkonidae
Exons: 3
Source: RefSeq, a predicted model, not a curated record